GUACCAUGCACCUUUGAGGGACCAAGGACCCAAGACUUGAGGUAGACACUAUUCCCAGCUGGAUACUCUCAAUGUUGAGGAUAUAGAUGCACAAACCAAUGCAGGGAGGCCUCCAGGAGCCACUGGAGAAGAAAUCUUCAGAUCCUACCAGGCCCAUAGCUGUUGCCUUUGUGGGCUCCUGGGUUAAUUUCCACACAUCAGUGGCCCACCUUAUGAUAUCCUCCCUGCAUGCCACACUCCCGGCCAUGCUCUGUGGACAGCCAUUAUUUCCAGUAAUUGCUAAUGGGAGCCAGUCUCCAAAGAGUAAUGAAUCAGAGGUGUUCCUUGGAAUGUGUUACACUAGGACUUCGCCGAUCUCACAGGCUCCUUUCCAGAUGAGCUGACUGUAAUCUCUGGGAAGCUGGAUCUGGAGGAACAAUGGGAUGGGAUUUGCGGUGACCCUUCCUGCCCUUCUUGAGCAGCUUGUGAACCAGAAGAUGUGCCUGGAGAGAAAGCCUCAUUUGGGGAAGUGCAGUAGUCGAAGUUCUUUAUUUUGAAAAUGGAGAACAACCCUUCUCACAAUCCUGUCUCCCCUUCCCCCUUUCCAACUAGAAUAUCAGCUCCCCUGAACAUGAGUCAGUCACAUUUCAGGGAAAACUGGCUGAUGUUGAAGAAAUCACUUGAGGGCAAACUUUGUCCUUCAAGCUGUGGGUCUCUGAAGUGUAGAGCCAGCAGAUCCCCCAGUGUAGGGACUGGGCCUUCCUUGCCCAUUGAAUGCUUUCUAUACAUGAAGACUUGGAGCUCUUUACAGAUGACAGUAGCCAGUGAGGAAGAUAAAAGAAGAGAAAAGACCCAAAAUGCGGGUUUGCCACUCUUUUUUGCCAGCACCGUGGGGACAGUCACUCUGCCUUCUUUCCACCACCUCCAACUUCACACUCACACGCACACUCUGGUCCCACAGAGCCUGUUUGGUACUUGCCUGACAGCCCACCUUGAAACCAGAUGGUCAUGAACCUGUCACCAAGUCAUCUGAAGAUCUUCCACUGCAACCUGUAUGGCAUCUGCCACAGGGACCAUGGGACAUGAUUGAAGAACCACUCCAGUGCAGUUGAUGAAGGGGUGGGUCUGCACUGGAGUUAGGUGCACCAGGGCCUGGGCCAAGGGUGGGCUGGGUCCAUCUUGUGUGUGGUGGUCUUCUUCAGAGUAGCAGCUGAUUCAGAGGGAUUCCAUAGAACUGCACAGGCUAGGUCUAGUCAGAUAUCUUGGACAUUUUCUAUUUCUAGAUUAGAGAAUAUAGCAUACGCUGAUUUUAAUAUAACUGUGUAUGUGACUUUUUCAGUGAGAAAAAUUUUAAGUGAUGUUCUAAACAAUUUUUGGCAUGUAGACAGAAUAGUCAAAUAUCUGUUUAACUAGCAACAUAGUUACUCGUGCAUAUUUAAAAUACUACAUGAGUAUGGCCUGGCACAGUGGCUCAUGCCUGUAAUCCUAGCACUCUGGGAGGCCGAGGUGAGCAUAUUGCCUGAGUUCAGUUUGAGACCACUUUGGACAACAUGGUGAAACCCUGACUCUAUAAAAAUACAAAAAUGUAGCCAGGUGUGGUGGUGCGUGCCUGUAGUCCCGGCUACUUGGGAAGCUGAGGUGCAAGAAUUGCCUGAACCUGAGAGGCAGAGGUUGCAGUGACCUGAGAUUGUGUCACUGCACUCCAGCCUAGGUGACAGAGCAAGACUACAUCUCAAAAAAUAAAACAAAAUAAAAUAGGCCCUGUGCCGUGGCUCACGCCUGUAAUUCCAGCAUUUUGGGCAGCUGAGGCGGGCAGACCACCUGAGGUCAGGAGUUCAAGACCAGCCUGACCGACAUGGUGAAACCCCAUCUAUACUAAAUACAAAAAAUUAGCCAGGUAUGGUGAUGCAUGCCUGUAGUCCAAGCUACUUGGGAGGCUGAGGCAGGAGAGAAUGGCUUCAACCUGGGAGGCAGAGGUUGCAGUGAGCCGAGAUUGCGCCACUGCACUCCAGCCUGGGUGAUAGAGCAAGACUUCGUCUCAAACAAUAAAAUAAUAAAAUAAAAU
Long non-coding RNA from Homo sapiens (human), 2044 nucleotides. Ensembl annotates it as MIR4435-2 host gene. Lineage: Eukaryota; Metazoa; Chordata; Mammalia; Primates; Hominidae. The record is from Ensembl.